GUCGACAACCUGCCCCGAAGACCGGGAUAACUCACCGAAAGGUGAGCUAAUACCGGAUACCUUCACGACGUCUCCUGGCGAUGUGAAGAAAUGGAUUCCGCUUUGGGAGGGUCUCGCGGCCUAUCAGCUUGUUGGUGAGGUAACGGCUCACCAAGGCGACGACGGGUAGCUGUUCUGAGAGGAAGAUCAGCCACACUGGGACUGAGACACGGCCCAGACUCCUACGGGAGGCAGCAGUGGGGAAUCUUGCGCAAUGGGCGAAAGCCUGACGCAGCGAUGCCGCGUGCGGGAAGACGGCCUUCGGGUUGUAAACCGCUUUCAGCAGGGACGAAAUUGACGGUACCUGCAGAAGAAGCUCCGGCCAACUACGUGCCAGCAGCCGCGGUAAGACGUAGGGGCGAGCGUUG
This 407-nucleotide ribosomal RNA is filed under the name uncultured Actinomycetes bacterium. Its description in RNAcentral is "bacterial SSU rRNA". It matches the Rfam family "Bacterial small subunit ribosomal RNA", at positions 117 to 543 of the family's 1533-position model. The record is from RNAcentral. Lineage: Bacteria; Bacillati; Actinomycetota; Actinomycetes.